This 481-nucleotide ribosomal RNA is filed under the name uncultured bacterium. RNAcentral's name for it is "bacterial SSU rRNA". It matches the Rfam family "Bacterial small subunit ribosomal RNA", at positions 45 to 507 of the family's 1533-position model. The record is from RNAcentral.
UGCUUAACACAUGCAAGUCGAACGGCAGCGCGGGAAGCUUGCUUCCUGGCGGCGAGUGCGAACGGGUGCGUAACACGUAGGAAUCUACCCAGCUGCGGGGACAACCCGGGGAAACUCGGGCUAAUACCGCAUACGCCUACCGGGGAAAGGUGGGGACCUCUUCGGAGGCCUGCCGCUGUUGGAUGAGCCUGCGGCCGAUUAGCUUGUUGGUAGGGUAAUGGCCUACCAAGGCGACGAUCGGCAGCUGGUCUGAGAGGAUGAUCAGCCACACUGGGACUGAGACACGGCCCAGACUCCGUACGGGAGGCAGCAGGUGGGGAAUAUUGGACAAGUGGGCGCAAGCCUGAUCCAGCAAUGCCGCGUGUGUGAAGAAGGCCGUUCGGGUUAGUAAAGCUACUUUCAGGUGGGGAAAGAAAAGCGUUGGGGUGAAUAGCCCCGGGUCUUGACGGUACCUACAGAAGAAGCACCGGCUAACUCCGUG